RNAcentral lists this ribosomal RNA (368 nucleotides) under uncultured organism. RNAcentral's name for it is "bacterial SSU rRNA". It matches the Rfam family "Bacterial small subunit ribosomal RNA", at positions 526 to 896 of the family's 1533-position model. The record is from RNAcentral.
CGGAGGGUGCGAGCGUUGUCCGGAUUUAUUGGGUUUAAAGGGUGCGUAGGUGGCUGUUUAAGUCAGUGGUGUAAUACGGUUGCUCAACAAUCGAGGUGCCAUUGAUACUGAAUAGCUUGAAAUAAUUGGAGGCUGCCGGAAUGGGUGGUGUAGCGGUGAAAUGCAUAGAUAUCAUCCAGAACACCGAUUGCGAAGGCAGGUGGCUACGAUUGGUUUGACACUGAGGCACGAAAGCAUGGGGAGCAAACAGGAUUAGAUACCCUGGUAGUCCAUGCUGUAAACGAUGAGGACUCGCUGUUUGAUGGCAACAUUGAGCGGCUUAGGGAAACCGUUAAGUCCUCCACCUGGGGAGUACGCCGGCAACGGUG